RNAcentral lists this ribosomal RNA (253 nucleotides) under uncultured prokaryote. Its description in RNAcentral is "partial 16S ribosomal RNA". It matches the Rfam family "Bacterial small subunit ribosomal RNA", at positions 525 to 777 of the family's 1533-position model. The record is from RNAcentral.
ACGUAGGGGGCUAGCGUUGUCCGGAUUUAUUGGGCGUAAAGCGCGUGUAGGCGGCCAGGUAGGUCUGCUGUGAAAACUCGAGGCUCAACCUCGAGACGUCGGCGGAAACCACCUGGCUAGAGUCCGGAAGAGGAGAGUGGAAUUCCCGGUGUAGCGGUGAAAUGCGCAGAUAUCGGGAAGAACACCAGUGGCGAAAGCGGCUCUCUGGGGACCACCUGACGCUGAGGCGCGAAAGCGUGGGGAGCGAACCGGA